Molecule: long non-coding RNA, 980 nt
Organism: Coturnix japonica (Japanese quail)
Lineage: Eukaryota; Metazoa; Chordata; Aves; Galliformes; Phasianidae
Source: RefSeq, a predicted model, not a curated record
AUGUUAGCUUUUGUAAGGAAUUCUGUUUUGAAAAUUAAAGAGGAUUGAGGAGGUUUGCUUCUUCGAGUUGAUGGGGGUCUACUCUCAAAUCUUGGUGUCUUGGUUUUCAGGGAGACAUUUGGAUCUUUCAGUUCAACCUCAGUGUCAGCUGGAAUUCUGUGAAAAAAAAAUGAAGGCUUGGGGAAUAGAUAGGUGUUACAUUAAAUAUUAUCUGCAUUUCUUUCUUCUGGACAUAUGUACCUGCGCUGGAUGCUGCUGUAAUUACUGAAGUUUGCAUCUCUUUUGUAUUCUUGCUGUUGCUCUCUCCACCCCCAACCUUUGCUUUCUCUUCAUUACUCCACAGUUAUUAUUUCCAUUUCUUGUUCUGCACAAAUACUUCAAGAAAAAUGGGCAACACUGCUUUCUCUUAAACCAACAUAAAGGGCAAUGUGUCUUUCCUCCACUCACAGCAGGGGAGGGAAUUGUAAGUUGUGCUUUCAGCCUGGUGCAUGCUGAAGUGAUGCUGCAAGCAGCAAAAUAAAAGCUCUUUCAACUGUUUGGCUGCUUUACAGCAACGCAGUGUAGUACAGCAAGUAUCAAAGAUCUGAAGUACUCAGUGAUACAGGUAGUUGCUUUGUCCUCUGUGUCAUCACAGCAUCACAGCCUGUAACUGGAGAUUGAUUCAGACUGAAUAGCGAGGAGGCAGCGCAAUCAUCCCUUGAAGAACAUGCUCAUUUCAUCUCACCUUGGAGAGAAAAUUUAUACUGAUGUCAUAGCUAGAUUUGAAACCUACAUCAUGUGUAAUUGCUAUUGCAAAUCUGGUGGAAUAGCCUGAAAACUGCAGGAGUCCAACAUGCUGCUGGGAGAGCUGAGCUGACUGACGGUAUCAGAUUCUGAAUGUUCUCUGGUGCUGUCUCACGAUUAAAGAAAGUAUCUUUUCAGGAUGCUUUUGUUCAGAAUAAGAAAAUAAUAAAGGGAAAUCUGAUACUGAGUAUUUUUAA